Drosophila mojavensis is the source of this 1250-nucleotide long non-coding RNA. RefSeq lists it as uncharacterized. NCBI's taxonomy places the organism in Eukaryota, Metazoa, Arthropoda, Insecta, Diptera, Drosophilidae. The transcript is spliced from 2 exons. The record is from RefSeq and is a predicted model, not a curated record.
AGCUACAGAAAAUUUGCAGCUAAUUAUGUUCAUCGGGUCGCAUUGGAUUGACUGAUUACAAUGUAACACCCGCCUAGGGGUCAAAUUUUGCACGCUGUCAUGUGUGUGUGACCGUGAUCCAUGCAGCGGGCCAGUCACAGACUGGCGGAACGAGUGCAACACGAACUAUUUUAAUGGACUUGGCAUGGCACAGCCGUGGCCAUGUGAGAAGAAGAAGAAGACAUCUGUGGCUGUGCCACCAGACUAUGCCAUCUCCAAUCAUCUAUCAGUGUGUGUAUGUGUAUGUGUGUGAGUGUGAGUGUGCACACGCCCGUUAAUCAGCUUUGCUUGGAGGCCUUUCAUCAAAGCGCAGGCGGCACCCACAACAGCAACAACAACAACAGCAACACAAAAACGAAACAGAACUGAAAAGAGAUUAAGCAUACGACGUGUUGUGCAGUUAACCGAACUCCUAGCAACAACUACAACAACAACCAAAUGGUCAACUAACGGUUUGGCAUGCGUUGUUGACGCUCAGACUGCUGCAAAGGCUUUUUUCACUCUGAGAUUUCGACUGCGACCUGGCGGCAAUUGUAAUUUAUGAUUCGAAGCGCACGGCGUUCAAAUGAUCUAUUGGCGCGCCGUCAUUCGCCCCAUUCAAGUGAUUUUCUUAAGAGGCGGCUCGUUGCACUCUUCAUCAUACGCUGGGCACUUGUUGCAGCGGCAUUUAUAUAUGUACAUAUAGACAUACAUAUAUAACAUAACAGUUAAAAUGAAUUAUUGCAGCGCAUACGACCGCCCGACCCAAGGGCCUUCAACUGUUAUCAAAGUGUUAUACUAGAUGUGGUCAACUUGAUGAAUGACUCGAAUGAAGUCUACAUGAGACUGGGUAGACCGCAAGUCCAUGACUGUUAUACUAGAUGUUGGCAGUUGAAUGAUGAAUGGAUUACAUUCAAGUGUUAUAAAAGUCUUAAGCUGGACACUAGAGAUGGAUAAUGAAUAGAUUAACUUUCUGCAUGGGCCGCCUGCCCUCAAGGACCUUCAACUGUGAAUGUUAGGAGGAUGCGUCGACUGCCCACACAAGACUGUUAUAAAAGUGAUAUACUAGAUAUACAACGGAAUGUUAUAAACUAAUUAAAUCAAAAGGAGGCUGAGUAAAUUGCCGCCUCGAAAGGCCUGGACUGUUAUAAAAGUGUUAUACUAGCUGUAAGCAACCGAAAAUUUCGACAGCUGUUAUACUUAUAAUUGAUAUAAUAUACUUUGUCAAUGGA